GACGAACGCUGGCGGCGUGCUUAACACAUGCAAGUCGAACGGAAAGGCCCUGCUUUUGUGGGGUGCUCGAGUGGCGAACGGGUGAGUAACACGUGAGUAUCCUGCCCUUGACUUUGUGAUAUCUUCAGGAAACCGGGGAUACUACCGGAUAGGAGCUCCUGCUGCAUGGUGGGGGUUGGAAAGCUUGGGUGGUUGGGGAUGGAUGGGCGGCUUACCAGCUUGUGGGUGGGGUAGUGGCUUACCCACGCAUUGACGGGUAGCCGGCCUGGGAGGGGGACCGGCCACAAGGCGGCUGCGGGAGGGCCCAGUCGGGUACGGGAGGCAGCGGGGGGGAGUAUUGCACAGUGGGGCGGAGCCUGAUGCAGAGACGCCGCGAGCGGGAAGACGGCCUUCGGGGUGUAAACCGCUUUCGCCUGUGACGAAGCUGGAGUGACGUUAAUGGGUAAAGAAGCACCGGCUAACUACGUG
RNAcentral lists this ribosomal RNA (468 nucleotides) under uncultured bacterium. RNAcentral describes it as "partial 16S ribosomal RNA". It matches the Rfam family "Bacterial small subunit ribosomal RNA", at positions 28 to 507 of the family's 1533-position model. The record is from RNAcentral.